AGCAUAUCAAUAAGCGGAGGAAAAGAAACCAACAGGGGAUUGCCCUUAGUAACGGCGAGUGAAGCGGCAACAGCUCAAAUUUGAAAUCUGGCCUCGGCCCGAGUUGUAAUUUGUAGAGGAAGCUUUUGGCACGGCACCUGCUGAGUCCCCUGGAACGGGGCGCCAUAGAGGGUGAGAGCCCCGUAUAGCAGGACGCCUAGCCUCUGUAAAGCUCCUUCGACGAGUCGAGUAGUUUGGGAAUGCUGCUCAAAAUGGGAGGUAAAUUUCUUCUAAAGCUAAAUACCGGCCAGAGACCGAUAGCGCACAAGUAGAGUGAUCGAAAGAUGAAAAGCACUUUGAAAAGAGGGUUAAAUAGCACGUGAAAUUGUUGAAAGGGAAGCGCUUGUGACCAGACUCGCGCCGGGCUGAUCAUCCGAGCUUCUGCUCGGUGCACUCUGCCCGGCUCGGGCCAGCAUCGGUUCUCGCGGGGGGAUAAAGGCCCUGGGAACGUAGCUCCUCCGGGAGUGUUAUAGCCCGGGGUGCAAUGCCCUCGCGGGGACCGAGGACCGCGCUUCGGCAAGGAUGCUGGCGUAAUGGUCAUCAGCGACCCGUCUUGAAACACGGACCAAGGAGUCAAGGUUUUGCGCGAGUGUUUGGGUGUUAAACCCGCACGCGUAAUGAAAGUGAACGUAGGUGAGAGCUUCGGCGCAUCAUCGACCGAUCCUGAUGUAUUCGGAUGGAUUUGAGUAGGAGCGUUAAGCCUUGGACCCGAAAGAUGGUGAACUAUGCUUGGAUAGGGUGAAGCCAGAGGAAACUCUGGUGGAGGCUCGCAGCGGUUACUGACGUGCAAAUCGAUCGUCAAAUCUGAGCAUGGGGCGAAAGAC
This 863-nucleotide ribosomal RNA is filed under the name Cladorrhinum hyalocarpum. RNAcentral describes it as "partial large subunit ribosomal RNA". It matches the Rfam family "Eukaryotic large subunit ribosomal RNA", at positions 37 to 931 of the family's 3401-position model. The record is from RNAcentral. Lineage: Eukaryota; Fungi; Ascomycota; Sordariomycetes; Sordariales; Podosporaceae.